CCCUUAGAUGUUCUGGGCCGCACGCGCGCUACACUGAUGCAUUCAACGAGCCUAUCCUUGACCGACAGGUCCGGGUAAUCUUUGAAUCUGCAUCGUGACGGGGAUAGAUUAUUGCAAUUAUUAAUCUUCAACGAGGAAUGCCUAGUAGGCGCAAGUCAUCAACUUGCAUUGAUUACGUCCCUGCCCUUUGUACACACCGCCCGUCGCUCCUACCGAUUGAGCGGUCCGGUGAAGACUCAGGAGAUGGGCGCGUGCUUGGUUCGCCAACUGCGCUGCCUGCCAAAUUUGUCUAAACCUUAUCGCUUAGAGGAAGGAGAAGUCGUAACA
RNAcentral lists this ribosomal RNA (327 nucleotides) under uncultured eukaryote. Its description in RNAcentral is "partial 18S ribosomal RNA". It matches the Rfam family "Eukaryotic small subunit ribosomal RNA", at positions 1470 to 1796 of the family's 1831-position model. The record is from RNAcentral.